CAGUCGCCACGGGAAUACGGAGGGUGCGAGCGUUAAUCGGAAUUACUGGGCGUAAAGCGUACGCAGGCGGUCUGUUAAGUCAGAUGUGAAAUCCCCGGGCUUAACCCGGGAACUGCAUUUGAAACUGGCAGGCUAGAGUCUCGUAGAGGGGGGUAGAAUUCCAGGUGUAGCGGUGAAAUGCGUAGAGAUCUGGAGGAAUACCGGUGGCGAAGGCGGCCCCCUGGACAAAGACUGACGCUCAGGUGCAAAAGCGUGGGGAGCAAACAGGAUUAGAUACCCCAGUAGUCCCUGUCUCUUAUAC
This 301-nucleotide ribosomal RNA is filed under the name uncultured bacterium. Its description in RNAcentral is "partial 16S ribosomal RNA". It matches the Rfam family "Bacterial small subunit ribosomal RNA", at positions 509 to 807 of the family's 1533-position model. The record is from RNAcentral.